AAUUAGUCAAUGCUGGCAAAUAUUCGGCCUUUCGAUUUGAAAUAAUGAAAUAUGUAUGUGGUGAAAAUGUAGGAUAUUCCAUAUGAUAUGUGUAUCACUUCUUAUCAACUUAUCCUAUAAAAAUCUUACACUCAUGGAUGUAUCCAUAAUGUAGGGGGGAAAUGUGCACAGCGGAGCAUCCAGACAACCGAGUAGAGCGAUAUGAAAUAGCCAAGACAACACCCCCACUCAAUACAGUUGCCUACCUCACUGGAACGCGGGCAAUAACAAACACCACGUGACUGACUGCAGUACAGUGAGUCUAGACGCACGAGAGACUAGUGCUCAGAGCCUCCACGAUGUCCGGCGGAGAGGAGGAGAAAAGAAAAAGAUGCACCAGCGCAUCCCGAAACGGACCCAAGGGCUCAGAGUCGUCAGGGUGGAGACGGCUACUAGAAACCAAUCCAGAGGGGCUGGUGGAGGUUGCUGCUGAUGAUGCCCAUCUCUGAUGUACCGAGGGCCUCUACUUUGGGCCAGUCUCCGCGCCGGCCCAGUGAUGGAUGACCAUUGGCAUGCCAACACCGCACCAUAUUUCAAUUUCCUGCACAGGCAGAGGAAUUCUGAGGGGUUGACCGGAGUUCUGCCGCACAGUGUGGGCCCGCCAGCUGAACCUGCCCGGCAACAUGGAGACACAAGGCCCAAACAGCCAGGAACAUUCCAGAACCCAGGAGCUCUCUCUCUCUGACAUUCCCUCUCUCUCCUUCUCUCUCUCUCUCUCUCUCUCUGUGUCAGCCUUCUUGUUGUCCUCCAGCGAAACAGACUGGGUCACAGCCACAUGGGUGAACACAGGAGAUAGGGCAGGAAUAACACAGUAACAGGCAGUUAAUGAACAUGAUUUGUUUUUUUCCGAUAACAACACACUCUCUCCAGGUAAUAUUAGAUGUUCUCAGUUUUACUAUUAGUUUUUUGGUAAAUGGACAA
Esox lucius (northern pike) is the source of this 960-nucleotide long non-coding RNA. RefSeq lists it as uncharacterized. The record is from RefSeq and is a predicted model, not a curated record. The transcript has 3 exons. NCBI's taxonomy places the organism in Eukaryota, Metazoa, Chordata, Actinopteri, Esociformes, Esocidae.